RNAcentral lists this ribosomal RNA (404 nucleotides) under Actinomycetes bacterium. Its description in RNAcentral is "Actinobacteria bacterium partial 16S ribosomal RNA". It matches the Rfam family "Bacterial small subunit ribosomal RNA", at positions 355 to 776 of the family's 1533-position model. Lineage: Bacteria; Bacillati; Actinomycetota; Actinomycetes. The record is from RNAcentral.
UGGGGAAUAUUGGACAAUGGGCGCAAGCCUGAUCCAGCCAUGCCGCGUGAGUGAUGAAGGCCCUAGGGUUGUAAAGCUAUUUCACCGGUGAAGAUAAUGACGGUAACCGGAGAAGAAGCCCCGGCUAACUUCGUGCCAGCAGCCGCGGUAAUACGAAGGGGGCUAGCGUUGUUCGGAUUUACUGGGCGUAAAGCGCACGUAGGCGGACUAUUAAGUCAGGGGUGAAAUCCCGGGGCUCAACCCCGGAACUGCCUUUGAUACUGGUAGUCUUGAGUUCGAGAGAGGUGAGUGGAAUUCCGAGUGUAGAGGUGAAAUUCGUAGAUAUUCGGAGGAACACCAGUGGCGAAGGCGGCUCACUGGCUCGAUACUGACGCUGAGGUGCGAAAGCGUGGGGAGCAAACAGG